AUUCCUGUAAGACUGGAAGUGUUGUAGUAACGGACUAGGGUUAAGGUAGGAAUUACGAGCGCUGUGGAAGACGUCUGACUUUCUGCCUGUGCCAUUUCAUUCGCCAUAGGACCCAGGGACUUGCACUGGCCCAGAUAUAAGCAAAGACCUUCCAGACAAGGCAGAGAAAGAAAUCACUGAAGGGAAACCGCGUUUAAAAAAAUCAGCAAUGCAUAAACGAGCCGGGAGUCCAAGACAGUCGCUGUCCUUUCUUCUCUCCGGUCUGACUCGGUUCUUUAUUUAAAGAGGCAGUAAUGUUGGGAGGUAUCCGUAUUGUCACAUUAAAGCAAGCGUACAACGUCCAUAUACAUAAUUCAUAAAUCCUCAACUCCAGACAUCAACCCUCCCUUCAGAUAACCAGAGCCCGAAAACUGAACUCAAGACCUGCGGCGGACUGGCACUCGUGCAGCCGCUGAACUCCAGGUGAAGCCCGUCCUGUGCCCACCUUUGGGAGACAGACCUUCAGAAACCAUUGGAGGAAGUACAAACGCGCAAGGAGAGACCCUAUCCCCACUGAACAAGGUUAACGAGCUAAAACACUGCAAGCGGUUUCCACCAAGCAGGGGGGUUCACAGAGAGUGAGAGGGGGUUGGGUGGGGGGUGAGAGGGGGUUGGGUGGGGAGGGGGAAGAGCAACCUCAGAAUGUGUUACCAAUGCGGGCUUCCAGUACACUGGAAACACUCAGUCUGGGAAUAAAAAAACUUUCUGCACAGUUUGGACAGCGAUGCUGUUGAGAGGUAAUUAACGAACUUGCAGUGAUUUUACAACCCUUCCACUAAAUGGUGGGCAUCUAUCUGUUUUAUGCACUGGAAUCCCAAACAUAGCACGGAGUAAACGGAUCACUGUGGAAAACACUCUGCGGAGAGAAGGGGAGAUGGUGUGGGCAGCUAUACCAACACAACGCCUCCAAUUAUUUCAGUCAAGAGCUCAAAACUAAAUAAAAUCCACUCAGUGCACUGCUCCUUCUGUACAAAUAGACCCCUAGAUUUAUAGAUACAGAAUAUAGAUGUUAUAUUAUCUACGGCAUAUAUAAUAUUUGUUUUAUAGACGGAUGAUCUGAGUAUCUAAACUUUGCAGCCUGUUAACUUGCUUUCCCAAUGGUCACCAUAAAUUUAAUGAAAUCUAAUUUUUUCACAAAUGAUACAGCUGUAUUUCAAUAAAAUCAUUACUUAUUA
Pristis pectinata (smalltooth sawfish) is the source of this 1214-nucleotide long non-coding RNA. RefSeq lists it as uncharacterized. Lineage: Eukaryota; Metazoa; Chordata; Chondrichthyes; Rhinopristiformes; Pristidae. The transcript has 3 exons. The record is from RefSeq and is a predicted model, not a curated record.